UUUACUUCUCGAGGAAACUUUGUUGAAGUCUUUUUCAAUCUAUCAGUGUGAUUAGCGUGAGAGGGUACUUUCAAAAAUGUUUACCAAUAUAAAAUAUCUUGUUAAUAUUAAAAUACGUAUAAUUAUUAAUUUUUAGUAAUUAACUUAUUUACCAAUUCCUUGAAAACUUGGCAAGAAAUGUUCAAAGUUGACACUGUCAAUCGCCUUUACUAAGCUAAUAAAAAUUUAAGAAGCGGAGUCAUAAUUAUCAGCAUCAGUAUGGUAUUCUAGCCAAUUAACACUAGUGUGGUGUUAAAUGUAACUGUACAGGGUGAGUCAACGAAAGAGUAAAAGUAUAUUUUUUUGAACAACCUAUUUUUAAAUUUUUCUAAGUUUUCACAAUUGCAAAAAAAUUACCAUAGCCCCAUUAUUUAAUUCUAGCGUUAUCCGAAUAUGCAACAGAAUUUGGAUUAGAUGCUACAGGGCGUUGAAAGUAAACGAAUAUUGGUUUCUCUUAAAUGGCACAAAAAUCUGCAACUUUUAUUAAGUUUGUAACACACCUAUGUUAAAUUCUUCCUAUUUAUUUUAACUUUUCCAAUAGUCACCCUUCUUUCUGUCUAAAAUGCAUCACUUUCAACCAAGUAUAGUGAAUUCGGAAGACAGACAUUUACGUUUGCUUCCACUUUUUCAGUUCGAUUUUUUUUUUAUCAAAUUUGAUGUUCUCGUUUGCCUACACUUAUUGGGCCAUAUUAUCGCACUCAUCGUCUGAUCCAACACGUGUAAAUGUCAACGGUCCGACCACCCUCACCCUAAACGUAUAUCGGAAAACAUAUUCUCAUUCCACUAAACACAUGCGGCGUUUGAAAUAUAGGCCUUUGCUCGCUUAAAACGAGCGGGAAUCAUAAAUAUAUCCCAUGGUGGCCUCACGCGUUUUAUCCUGGACGUACGAAUUCAAUCCUAUCUCGUCGAUAAGGACGAGUUGGGGCUAAAUGGCCUGGACAUGACGUUGCACAGUCCAUUCAUCAUUUGACGACCGUGGACCAAGUCGAGUUGAAAGGACAGAUAGUGGUAGCCUAAUAUUAUUUCCGCGGAUUAUGAAUAAAUGGAGCAAAGGUUUUAGGAAUGAAAACUAAGCAAGAAAAAACUCUACGCUAAACUUGUAACAUCAUUGCAGCAGCGGAAUCCAAUGAUGCUUUAAACCAGAACAAAAAACACUCUUGAGAAUUAAUGAAGAUUCAAGAUAUAUCUACAGCCAGAAGAUGACGAAUUUUUUACUAAUUAUUCUGAUACUAUUUCGAUUGAUAUCGCCAUGCACCGUGCACUCCUCAUUUGACAAUUGCUUUUAGAACUAGUCACUUUUAAGGCACUAGGCACUUUUUAAGGCGCUUCUUGUCCCAUUACUUUAUUUGACAUUGUUCAGUUAAUUUAAAUACAAAAUACGACUAAUUUAGGUGAUUUUUAAAAUGCAAUUGUUUAGAGGAUUAUUGAUAAAUAUUGGUACAAAAUACAACUAUU
This is a long non-coding RNA of Cylas formicarius (sweet potato weevil), 1494 nucleotides long. RefSeq lists it as uncharacterized. The transcript has 4 exons. The record is from RefSeq and is a predicted model, not a curated record. NCBI's taxonomy places the organism in Eukaryota, Metazoa, Arthropoda, Insecta, Coleoptera, Brentidae.